GAUGAAGAACGCAGCGAAAUGCGUUAAGUAAUGUGAAUUGCAGAAUUCAGUGAAUCAUCGAAUCUUUGAACGCACAUUGCGCCCCCUGGUAUUCCGGGGGGCAUGCCUGUUCGAGCGUCAUUUCACCACUCAAGCCUCGCUUGGUAUUGGGCAACGCGGUCCGCCGCGUGCCUCAAAUCGACCGGCUGGGUCUUCUGUCCCCUAAGCGUUGUGGAAACUAUUCGCUAAAGGGUGUUCGGGAGGCUACGCCGUAAAACAACCCCAUUUCUAAGGUUGACCUCGUAUCAGGUAGGGAUACCCGCUGAACUUAAGCAUAUCAAUAAGCGGAGGA
This 331-nucleotide unclassified non-coding RNA is filed under the name soil metagenome. RNAcentral's name for it is "partial contains 5.8S ribosomal RNA, internal transcribed spacer 2, and large subunit ribosomal RNA". The stretch from base 1 to 120 matches the Rfam family "5.8S ribosomal RNA", at positions 35 to 154 of the family's 154-position model. The record is from RNAcentral.